This 460-nucleotide ribosomal RNA is filed under the name uncultured bacterium. RNAcentral describes it as "partial 16S ribosomal RNA". It matches the Rfam family "Bacterial small subunit ribosomal RNA", at positions 338 to 795 of the family's 1533-position model. The record is from RNAcentral.
CCUACGGGUGGCAGCAGUGAGGAAUAUUGGUCAAUGGACGGAAGUCUGAACCAGCCAUGCCGCGUGCAGGAAGACGGCUCUAUGAGUUGUAAACUGCUUUUGUACAAGGGUAAACCUGAAUACGUGUAUUCAGCUGAAAGUACUGUACGAAUAAGGAUCGGCUAACUCCGUGCCAGCAGCCGCGGUAAUACGGAGGAUCCAAGCGUUAUCCGGAUUUAUUGGGUUUAAAGGGUGCGUAGGCGGAUUGAUAAGUUAGAGGGGAAAUGUCCGAGCUUAACUUGGGAAUUGCCUCUAAUACUGUUGAUCUAGAGAGUAGAUGCGGUAGGCGGAAUGUAUGGUGUAGCGGUGAAAUGCUUAGAGAUCAUACAGAACACCGAUUGCGAAGGCAGCUUACCAAUCUAUAUCUGACGUUGAGGCACGAAAGCGUGGGGAGCAAACAGGAUUAGAUACCCCAGUAGUC